GACCCCAUCGUCUAGCCCGGCCUAGGACACCGCCCUUUCACGGCGUCAACGAGGGUUCGAAUCCCCCUGGGGUCG
This 75-nucleotide transfer RNA is filed under the name Beta vulgaris subsp. vulgaris (sugar beet). It matches the Rfam family "tRNA". Rfam says of the family: Transfer RNA (tRNA) molecules are approximately 80 nucleotides in length. Their secondary structure includes four short double-helical elements and three loops (D, anti-codon, and T loops). Lineage: Eukaryota; Viridiplantae; Streptophyta; Magnoliopsida; Caryophyllales; Amaranthaceae. The record is from Rfam by way of RNAcentral.